AAUUCCUAAAGCCAAAACUGAAACAUGACUUUCAGCUCCAAUAUUCAGGAACCUAUUAUUGCUUUCAAACUUUCUAUUAAUCUGAAGUUCCUACAACAAAUUACAGAUUUGAAUCAGACUUUCAAUAUCCAAUACCCAGAUAGUAGUAUCAUAGACAUAGAAAUCAUAAAGUGUUAUCAUAUAAGCAUCAUGUCCAGCAAUCAUUUGUUGAUUUCUCUUUUUUAGCCAGU
This 230-nucleotide long non-coding RNA is filed under the name Elaeis guineensis (African oil palm). Its description in RNAcentral is "long non-coding RNA (EGUI_LNC050428)". Lineage: Eukaryota; Viridiplantae; Streptophyta; Magnoliopsida; Arecales; Arecaceae. The record is from RNAcentral.